UACGGAGGGUGCGAGCGUUGUUCCGAUUUACUGGGCGUAAAGGGCGCGCAGGCGGACCAUCAAGUCAGGGGUGAAAGGCCUGGGCUCAACCCGGGAAUUGCCUUUGAAACUGAAGGUCUAGAGUCCGAGAGAGGUUAGCGGAAUUCCCAGUGUAGAGGUGAAAUUCGUAGAUAUUGGGAAGAACACCAGUGGCGAAGGCGGCUAUCGGGCUCGGUAUUGACGCUGAGGCGCGAAAGCGUGGGGAGCAAACAGG
Molecule: ribosomal RNA, 253 nt
Filed under: uncultured bacterium
Lineage: Bacteria
Description: partial 16S ribosomal RNA
Rfam family: Bacterial small subunit ribosomal RNA
Source: RNAcentral